ACACAUGCAAGUCGAGGGGCAGCAUGAUUGAAGCUUGCUUCAAUUGAUGGCGACCGGCGCACGGGUGAGUAACGCGUAUCCAACCUUCCGUACACUCAGGGAUAGCCUUUCGAAAGAAAGAUUAAUACCUGAUGGUAUGAUGAGGUUGCAUGAUAGCAUCAUUAAAGAUUUAUCGGUGUACGAUGGGGAUGCGUUCCAUUAGGUAGUAGGCGGGGUAACGGCCCACCUAGCCUACGAUGGAUAGGGGUUCUGAGAGGAAGGUCCCCCACAUUGGAACUGAGACACGGUCCAAACUCCUACGGGAGGCAGCAGUGAGGAAUAUUGGUCAAUGGACGAGAGUCUGAACCAGCCAAGUAGCGUGAAGGAUGAAGGUCUUACGGAUUGUAAACUUCUUUUAUAAGGGAAUAAAACCUCCCACGUGUGGGAGCUUGUAUGUACCUUAUGAAUAAGCAUCGGCUAACUCCGUGCCAGCAGCCGCGGUAAUACGGAGGAUGCGAGCGUUAUCCGGAUUUAUUGGGUUUAAAGGGAGCGCAGACGGGUCGUUAAGUCAGCUGUGAAAGUUUGGGGCUCAACCUUAAAAUUGCAGUUGAUACUGGCGUCCUUGAGUGCGGUUGAGGUGUGCGGAAUUCGUGGUGUAGCGGUGAAAUGCUUAGAUAUCACGAAGAACUCCGAUUGCGAAGGCAGCACACUAAGCCGUAACUGACGUUCAUGCUCGAAAGUGUGGGUAUCAAACAGGAUUAGAUACCCUGGUAGUCCACACGGUAAACGAUGGAUACUCGCUGUUGGCGAUAUACUGUCAGCGGCUUAGCGAAAGCGUUAAGUAUCCCACCUGGGG
This 835-nucleotide ribosomal RNA is filed under the name uncultured bacterium. RNAcentral describes it as "bacterial SSU rRNA". It matches the Rfam family "Bacterial small subunit ribosomal RNA", at positions 51 to 878 of the family's 1533-position model. The record is from RNAcentral.